Marmota monax (woodchuck) is the source of this 14659-nucleotide long non-coding RNA. RefSeq lists it as uncharacterized. NCBI's taxonomy places the organism in Eukaryota, Metazoa, Chordata, Mammalia, Rodentia, Sciuridae. The record is from RefSeq and is a predicted model, not a curated record. The transcript is spliced from 2 exons.
UUGUUAAGUUCUGAUAACUUGAUUACAGGAGGUGGCACAUGCCUGUCAUCCCAGCGGCUCCACAGACUGAGGAAGAUGGCAAGUUCAAAGCCAAACCCAGCCUCAGUAAUUUAGCAAUUUAGAGUCUCAAAAACUAAAAAUAAAUGAAUAAAUAAAAACAAAACAAAACAAACAAACAACAACAACAACAAACAAAAAACCAAAACAACAACAACAACAACAAAAAACAGGGCUGGGCUGGGGUUAUAGCUUAGUGGUUAAACACCCCUGGGUUCAAUCCCUGGUACCAGAAAACACAAACAAACAAAACAAUACCAAAAAAUCUACUACAAAUUGGACUCUAUCCUUGUCUUCUUUCCCACUCGGAUGGAAACUGUGGACAAAGUAUGAAAGCAUUAAAGAACAACAAAGCACACUUUGCCAAUCAUUGCAGUGUCCAAAGCUCCUUCUUCUGUAAGAGAAUCAGAAGAUACAUUUCUUCUCCAAGGUUUGGCACAACUUCUAAUGAGCAAAAUGAUGAGAUUAGACUGGUACCCUCAGUCUUUUUCCAAAUUAUAACAUGUUAAUAUAACCAAUGGAUUAAAUUAGAAAUCAUGAUUUCCAUCCACACAACACUCAAUACACAUAGCUGCUUAGAGGCAACAAUUAUCCUUGGAAAUUAAAGACCAAAACAGCACAGUAUCAUCUAACUAUACCCUCAAUGCAAAUAGUGUUAUCCAAAGAAGCUCCCAGUAAGAGAACACAUGUAAAAAAUGUUAAUUUAGAUAGACUGAUAAUUUAAAAACCAACAUAGGCCCCUCUUUUGGAUCAUUUAUGUAAAACUGUUAGUAAGUGUUCCAAGUUUUAACACUUGUCUAUUCAAGACAAAUUACUAAUUUGCUAAAAUUUUAAUUUUUCUUAAUCAGGGAAGUUUGCACCUAGUGGAUCGUCUUUUUUUUUUUUUCCUUCCUAAUUAACAUGCUCUUUUCUUUCUGUUUGCCGGAUAUCCCCUACUUAUUCAUUUAUUUUUUGGUUUUUCUUUAUCACUUUGUUUUACAUUUUUUUUAUAUAGCACAUAGUUGGGUUUGUUUUUAAGCCAGUCUGACAGCCUAUGUCCUUCCUUCCUUCCUUCCUUCUUUCCUUCCUUCCUCUCUUUCUCUCUCUCUUUCUUUAUUUUUUCUAGAUAUUGGGAAUUGAACCUGGGGCCACUGAACUACAUUCCCAGCCCCUUUUAUUUUGAAUUAGUUAAGUUGCUGAGGCUGGCUUUGAACUUGUGAUCCUCCUGCCUCAGCCUCCUGAGUUGCUGGAAUUAUGGGUGUGCAUCACAACGUCUAGCUCAAUCUAUCUUUUAAUGGAUUAAUUCAGCUCAUUUACAUUUAAUUAUAUUAGUAAUCUAUUCUUCUACGUGUGUUUAUUAUUUGUUUUACAUUGCUGUUUCCUUUUUUAUCCUCUGUCUUAUCUUUACUAGUUUCAUCAAGUUGUCAUUCAUUCCCUUUUACUUGUUGUAAUUUAAUUGGUAUACAACAAACAACACAUUUUAUAGUGUACAAGUUCAUAAGUUUUGAACCUAUGUACAUGGCCUGAAACUACUACAAAAAUCAAGAUAAUAAAUAUAGCUACCUCCUAAAACAUUUCUAGGGCCCUUUUAUAUUUUUUUUCCUCCACUCCCUACUCCCAUCCCCAGGCAAUUAAUGAUCAACUUUUGUUAAUAACUCAGUAAUAUAUAAUAAUAUAUAAUAACGUAGUAACUUUUUGUUACUAUGGUUUGCAGUUUAAACAAUUUUAUAUAAAUGGAAUCAUACAAAUUUAUGUUUUUCUGUUUGGCUUCUUUCAAUCAUUUCUCAUCAUCAUCAUCUUUAUUUUUGAGACUCAUCAAUGUAUCAGGUGUAACAACAGCUUGUUCCUUUUCAUUGCUGAGUAGUAUUCUAGCAGUGGAUACCCCCAGUUAGAGUAUCCAUUCACCUAUUAAAUAUUUGGGUUGUUCACUGAUUUGAAUAUUACAAACAAAGUAUCCAUGAACAUUCAUGUGUAGGUCUUAUUGUGGAUGUAUGCUUUUAUUUCUGUUGGCUAUGGAUGUAGGCGUGGAAUGGUAGUAGUUUGGUUAACAUUUAAGGGAAUUUUCAUACUGUUUUCUAAAGUAGUUCCAUUUUAUAACUUACUGUCAGUGUAUGCAAAUGCAGUUCAUUUACACUUCACCAAUCCUAGAAUGUUAAGUUUUUAAUUUUAGUCACCGAACUAGAUAUAUAAUGCUAUCUCAUUGUGGUUUGAAUCUGCACUUCCCUAAUGAUUGAUCGCGUUGAGCAUGUUUUAAAAAAAUAUUUUUUGCCAUAUAUAUCUCUGACCACUUUUUAAAUGAUGGUUUGUAUUCUUAUUAGUUUUGAGAGUUCAUUGUAUAUUCUGAAUAUAUAAGUUCUUUCUUAGAUAUAUAACUUGUAAAUAUUUUCUGUUAAUCAGUUAUCUUUUCAUUCUUUAUUUCUUAUUUAUUUAUUGUUUAUUCUAAUUUGUUAUAUAUGACAGCAGAAUGCAUUACAAUUCAUAUUACACAUAUAGAGCACAAUUUUUCACGUAUCUGGUUGUACACCAAGUAUCAUCACACCAUCCGUGUCUUCAUACAUGUACUUAGGGUAAUGAUAUCCAUCUUAUUCCACCAUCUUUUCUACCUCCAUCCCCACUCCCUCCCCCACCCGUUUAUCUUUUUAUUCUUAAAAGUAUCCUUCAAAAGGCAGAAUUUUUUAUUGUAUAAAUUCCAUUUUAUGGACUGAAUAUUGAGUAUCACAGUUAAGAAAUCUUCACCUGAGGAGGGAAGAAUAGAAUUCAUUGGAUUCAGCGAAGGGGAAUGAAGGGAAUGGAGGGAGGCUGGGAACGGGAAAGACAGUGGGAUGAAUGGGACAUAACUUUCCUGUGUUCACAUAUGAAUGUAUGACCAGUGUAACUCCACAUCAUGCACAACCACAAGAAUGGGAAGUUAUACUCCAUGUAGUUUGAUAUGUCAAAAUACACCCUACUGUCAUGUAUAUCCAAAAAGAACAGAUAAUUUUUUAAAAAGUGGGGAAAAAAUUGUCACAUAACAUAAGGUCACAAAGGGUUUCUCCUAGGUUUGCUUCUAGAAAUAUUACAGUCUAAGGUUUCACGUUCAGGGCUGUGAUGAGUCUUGAGUUACGUGAGUUUCCAUUUCCAGGGGUCUUCUAGCUCCUCUGCUGAUCUGCACUUCCCUGGGGCCUCCUUUUCCUUCCUUGUUUUUACUUCUCUGAAGGAGUUCAAGGAUUUCCUUUAUCAUUUUUUUUUUCAGUGUGGAUCCGCUGAAGUCACAUUUUUCAAAUUUUAUAUGUCCUAAGAUGUAUUUAUUUCACUUUCAUUUUUGACAGAUAUUUUUGCAGAGCGUAGACAUUGUUUUUUCUUUCAGUACUUCAAAGAUAUUGCUUCAUUGUGUUUUACUCACGUUGCUUAUAAUAAAAACAUGUCAAAAUGAUUAUCUUUAUUCCUUUGAAGGUAAAAGUGUCUUUUUUAUCCCUCUGGCUGGUUUUAAGAUUUUUUUCUUUAAUAUGGAUUUUGAGAAAUUUGGUUAUCAUAUGUCUUGAUAUGAUUUUUUUUCAUGUUUCCUGUGCUCAAGGUUUGUUGAACUUCUUGGAUCUGUUAAAUAUAUCUCCACAUUUUGAAAAAAUUUCAGCUAUGAUAGAUUCAUAAAUAUUAUUCUGUCCCUCUCUCCCCCUCCUCUCUUUUGAGACUUUAAUUGCACCUAUGUUAGGAAGCUUGAUGUUUUUCCAAGUUCAAUCAUGCUCUAUUGAUUUAUACUUGAGUGUAUCUUUUCCUAAUAUGUAUAUUUUGGGUUAGUGUCCACUGUUAUGUCUUUAAAUUUAUUAGUCUUUUUUUCUGCAUCAAAUCUGCUUUUAAUCCAUCUAGUGUAUUUUUAACUCCAGAUAUUGUAAUUCUCAUCUCAGGAAGUUCAACUUGGUUCUCUUAAAAGUGUGUACCAUGUAUCUACUUAACAUGGUCAAUACUUCCUCUAACUUUCUGAACAUGCAGAAUAUAGUUGUAACUGUUUUAAUAUCCUUUUCUGCUAAUUCUAGCACGUGGGUCCAUAAAUUUGAAAGCAGAAAAUACUUACCAGAAUGAAAUCUUGCUCUGUAUUUAGAAAUCAGAACCCAUCUCUGUAAGAUUGUGUGUAAAAGAAAAACAAAAUUCCUUUUCAAAAGCCAAUUCAAAGGCCAGGCUCUGUGGUACAUGCCUAUACUCCCAGUGGUUUGGGGGGCUGAGAAAGGAGAAUCACAAGUUCAAAGCCAGCCUCAGCAAGAGUGAAGUACUAAGCAACUCAGUGAGACCCUGUCUCUAAAUGAAAUACAAAAUAAGGCUGGGGAUGUGACUCGGUAGUUGAAUGCCCCUGAGUUCAACCCCCGGUACCCCAUCCCCAACAACAAAAACAACAAAAAAUCAAUUAGAGCCUGGAGUGGUGUUUCAGGCCUAUAAUCUGAGCUCCCCAGGAGGCCAAGGCAGGAGGAUUACAAGUUCAAAGCCAGCCUGCACAAUUUAGUGAAACCCUGUCUCAAAAUAAAAAAAGAUAUUAAAAAAAGAGCUGGGCAGUAUAGUUCAGUGGUACAGCACCCUUGCAUUCAACCCCCAGUACUAGAAAAAAAAAUCAAUUAGAUCUCAAACAUUUAUCUCCUGUGUAAUAUGGCCUUUAAAACCUCUAAAGGCCUUUAAUACUAAUUAAUCUUCAAGAGAAGUGGUAAUAAAAUUAAAAACUGUUACUUCAGAGUUAUGUGAAUGAUCGUUUUUCUAUGCCCCUGUAUGCUUCAAGGCCAAUGUACCAGGAAAUAUGAUGAAUUUCUUAUCUUCCAGAAUGUUGCUAGGGUUUUACUAUCAACAAGACUGGAAAUGGGUUAAAGCAUCAUAGUCCAGGUAUUAAGGGUUCACCCAGAACAAGACAGCAUGGAUCUUGGGUUUGGACUGGAGAAUAAAGGUACACGUGAGGAUGUCAGAGGGGCUGAAAGCCUCAGGAAAAACACAGCAUAUUUUGGGACAUCCAUUUUGCCUCUUGGUAAAGUUUUCAAACACUGGUUAAAACAAACAGAUAUAUUAUGCUGUAAAAUGAAAAUUCUGCAGAUCUUUAAGAUAAACUGUUUUAAGGUUUGCCUACGUACUAGGCAUAUUAUUUUUAUUAUUAUUAUUAUUUUUUACUUUUUAAUUUUUUUAUGGUAUUGGGGAUUGAACCCAGGGUCUUGCACGUGCUAGGAAAGCAUUCUAACACUGAGCCACACCUCCAGCCUAAGAUGAGAUAUUUAGACUUAGAAGAAAUACCGAGCCUUGGGUUACUUUAGGCCAUGCCCUCUGUGGGCAGGAAGGUUCUGUUACUUCGGUAAAAAAAGAGUGAGAAACCUUGUUCUAAAACCAUGGUGCCCCUAAAAAGGGAGGGAGAUAGCUCCUGACGGAAGGCCUGCACCUGUGCUGAUAGGCCAUGCGCAUGCGGACAUCCUCCAGAGAUAGCAAAUGGGAGCAAACCAUUGCACACAUUCAUCAUCCAUUCAUCCAUCUUUUAAGCAUUUUAAAAAUGCCUCCUAUGUAGCAAAGAUUGCAAUAGAUGCUGAAGUCAGUAACAGGAUUCAGUGCCUAGUGAAGGAAUUCUCUAAGUUCUUCUUGCCCCAACAUAUAUCAUUAAAAAAACAAAAACAAAAACAACAACAACAAAAACUCUUGAUCUGUGCCAGACAUGGUUUCAAGUGAUUUAAAGGAAAUAACUUGUUUAAUCUUUGUAUUCAUAAUCCUCUAUGAAUGUAGAUGCUCCCGUCAUCCCAUCACACAGCGGGUGUACUGUCCAGGCUGAGAGUCAUUGUAUAGUGGGACAGACAUUUCUAUAAAAAAUCAAAACACUAUGAGGGUGGGGUCGAGGCUCGGUGGUAGAGUGCUUUCCCCGAGUGCUCAAGGUCCUGGUUUGAUUCUCAGACCACAAAAACUAAAACAAAACAACAAAUUUUAACAUUAUGGUAUAAGGGUAAGAGCUGUGGGACUAUUUCUAAGGCAAUGGAGACCCUUGGUUCCAGAUAAAAGACUGACAGAGUUUAUAAACCCCAAGUGGAAAUGUCUUCCCUUCCUGCUUAUUUAUUAUCACAGAAUCUGUGCCUAAUAUGUGACUGACUUUUCAUAGCGUUUGACUGAUCCUGAACAAAGUCAGUGUGAAGCACGCCUCAGCUCACAGCCUCCCAUCUGGUUUUGGCCAAACUGAGUGGUGGGGAAUGUUAUCUAAUGCGCCAGAAUUUAGCUCCUGACCAUUUCUGAAAACAAGUUCUAGUUCUGUUUCUCUUUUCUCCCCAGCUGUAGGAAGGUAUAACUGGCAAAUAAAAAUUGAAUAGAUUACAACAAACAAUGCGAUAUUUUGCUCAGUUCUGUUUUUUUUAAUUGAUUUUAUUAAUUUUUAAAAAAUACACGACAACAGUGGUUAGUUCUAUUUCUUGGGACAGCUUUUCAUGUUCUGUGUUUGGGACGUUAAUAGCCAUUAUAUGGAGAAAUAAAAGGGGGGUCAUGUUUUAAUAAAUUUGGUGAAUUAACUCUAAGAAAGUCUUCUUUAUUAGAGGAUUUUCUCAGAAUAUUUUGUAUGCUAAUGUGUUUUAUGAACCUCAGGGGGCACUGCUCUUUGGCAUUUUCCAAGUUGUUUACCCACUCAACUCUUUUUCUUGUUGUCAUUUUUUCUUUUGUUUGUUUUUUGGUUCUGGGGUUUGAACCCAGGGGUGCUCUACAACUGAGCUAUCCCCAGCCCUUUUUAUUUUGAUUUUUUAUUUUGUGACAGGAUCUCAUGAAGCUGCCCAGGCUGGCCUUGAACUUUCCAUUCUCCUGCCUCAGCCUUCUGACUAGCUGGGAUGACAGGAGUGGCACCACCCAGGGCUUGACUCUGUUCUUGAUAGCCACAUCAUGACACUGCAUUGGAAUGGCUGGGGAAGCUUAGGUGUCCCACAGUUAUAAUGAGCCUGAUCCUUCUUCCCAGGCUGGCUUUCCAAAUACCUGUGCAUGGGCCUCAGGGAUAGUCUCCUCCCGUGUCUUCCUGACUUCUCCAUGGUGAGGUUCUCACCUUCCUCUGGAUCUCCUCUCUGGGGGCAGCUCCUCUGUGCCGGUGUUCCUCCUAAUGUGUGGGGUUCAGAACUGAGGAUAGUAGCCAUCCAUGGGUUUUGGGGUUAAUUCUGAUGGACAUCUUAGGAACGCUGGGGACACUUUGUUUUUGUUCCUUUAUUUCCAACCUGAUAGGGAGGGUUGAUGAAUCCUUGAUAUAGAAAUGAUGGAUAUUAAGAGGCUUGAGGAAUUUGGAGCAGUUCAGAUAACAAAUAGAAUGAUUCGUGGUUUUGAAGGUAUGAGGUGUCAAACAUUUGAGAGCUGUUAGGUGCAAAGCUCUAUGGAGGACAGACAAGAUCUGCACAUUCAUCUUUCUCUCAAAGAGCUAAUUGUUAAACGAUGGAGGUGUUCAUAGAAAAGGCCAAAAUUACAAGAUAGCAUCACCCACUGUCAGAUUGACUAGAGCUAUUGGAGCUAAAGGAAGAUUCGCGACUAGCCAUCUUUAUGUUUCCUCCAUGGAAUCUCAUGCAUAUCCUCAGGAUGAACAAGCCUUGCAGAGGGACUGAAAGAGGUGGGCUUUGCUUGAAGGGGCUGUGUGCUCCCAAACAGCCUGGCACAAAGUGAAAUUUUGAUCACGGAAUGCUUUUCCCAAUGAUAUUUUAUAAAAUUAGAGAUGUGUUUUCUAGAAGAAGGUAAUGUUUACUCAAAGUCAGAAAUCAGGGCACACCCUGGAGUCGACCUCUACAAAAGUCAUGUGUUUAAAUGCCAAGACAGAGGAUUCUUUUUUUUCUGUUUUUUUUUAAAGAGUCCAAAGUAUUAUUCAGAAUAAAUUAAGGAAUACAAAUACUCUCUUCUCAAGGCAGCUUUCAUAUUUGAGGAAGUUCAGUGUGGUUGGCAGGAACACAGAUGUUGGAGUGAGACCAUCUUGUUUCUGUCGUUAUUCUAAUUAUUGAGUGACUGAUCCUGGAUUUCUUAAUUUCUCAGGGUCUCCUUUCCUUCCUUCCUUCCUUCCUUCCUAUCUUUUACGUCUUCCUUUCCUUUUUAUUUAAAAAAUAUGGCGUAUUCAAUAGUGUGACCUCCUAGGCUUGGCAGGAGUGUUAAUGGGUUUCUGAACACAAAGCACUCAGAACACUUAGGAAAACCUCAUUAUUAUGUAUUUAUUGCUAUAUAACAAAUUGCCAUUUGUUGUCAUUAUUUAUUGUCUUUGUCUAUUUUUGAGGGGCUGGACUUCAGAACAACUUAGCUGGGAGACUGGCUGGAGAUUUUUCAUGAAGUUACAGUUGGCUCUCUGCUGGUGCUGAGUCACGUGGAGGCUCACCUGGGCUGGAGGACCCAUCUCCAAGGCAGUUCUCAUAUGGUUGGGGACUGGUCCCCCCUGGUGGGAUGCCUCACUUCACCUUGGCAGGGGCGUCUCCACAGGGUGGUGGAGGACCUCACACCAUGGCGGCCAACUACCAUAGAGCAGAGGUCUAAGAGGCCAAGGUGAACUGCAAUGCCUUUUAUGACCUAAUUUUGGGAGUCACACGCUGUCACUUCUCCUUUAUCCCACUCUUAUUCAGUGUGGGAGGGGACUCUAUGAGGCAUGAUUGUGAGGAGGUGGCCAUCCAUGGGGGUUAUCUUGGAGCUGGCUACUGCGGCCGUCAAGGAGGUACUGUGUCCUAUUAUGUGAACUGACAUUAGGUAAAGGACACUUAAAUAAGAAUAUUGUAAAAUCCUGCAGCCUCAGCAUUGUCUUCUAAAAGGACAGUUUUAUAACAGGACUCCAUUGCUGUAAAGCACAUAUCAGGUGCUUUGGUUUACACUUACUUGAAAGAGGAACCUGAAACAAGGCCUUGGGUACCAGGAGUUUAUUUGGAAGCAGGAGGGAGGGAGGAGGGAUGUGAGGUGAGGAAGGAAGAAGAGCCACAUGGGGGUUGCUACUCCAGCCUCUGUGGACUGGAUUCCUCUGGGACCUUCUAGGAGGGCUACAGAAGGCCUCCCAGCAUUGUCCUCCGGAAGUGUGGAUGACCUGCACACUGGCUCCCAACUCCAGGGUUUCUACUGGGGGCUUAGCUUCCCUUGCACUUCAGAUCUGGACUUGCAUUCUGGCUGGGGUUCUCCAUGAUGUUGGAGAAGGUCUGAGAGGAAGCAGAACCCUUGGCUCUUGGAGGAAGGAUGCUGUCAUCACAGGGUGAGUCUGAGCUCACCCAGCUGCGGUGGAAACCAGAGGAGGCUGAGGGACUUGGCGGGGAUGCAAGAGGCACUUGCUUCAUCGUGUUUUCAGGAGCUGGGGUUUGGAGGCUGUGUUAGUUCAGCUCCUCCAAGGAGCAGGUGUCAAGACCGGGUUAGAAGGAGGAGAAGUGAGUUGGGGAAAUAUGCCUUGAGGAUGGUGGGGAGGGAGCUAGUGGAGGCUGGGAAAGCCCAGGACAGUGAUGCAGUCUGACCCUGGGGAGGAGAGAGGGAGGAAGUAAUGUGGGGCUGAAAGAAUCUUAGACUGUGAUUCAGGUCUGGGAAAGGUUCAGCAAGGCCAGUGCCAAGGCUUCAAGCCAAAGUCUCCCAUUGGUAGAGUCUUGGGUUCGGCAGCACUGGACAACUUUGUGUCCAGCUGGUGUGAAGUGUGACUUUAGUGGAAACGCAGAGGUAGGUCAGAGCAUCUCAGCCUGGCAAUCAGGCAGUCACCCUCCCUCACUACCAGUGGGAAAGGCACAUUUCUAUCACCACAGGAGUGUUAUUCAUAAGCUACCACAGGCAUGUAUUUGGGGAACCAGAGUUAUUUACUGUGAAAUAUUAGAGGUCUCCUUCUUCUUUCUGCCACAUUGCCUGAAAUUCUCCCAUAAGGUACUAAUUCCUGUGUUUCAUUGUUGCCCUCUCUUCCAGGUCAACUCUGGGAGAAAGAAUGCGUCACGUCACCAAUACUUCAGCAUGAACAAAUCAUUCAAAUGCUUUUUUUUUCAGUUUUUAUUUUUAAAAAUAUUUAUUUGUUCUUUUUAGAGAUACAUAGCAGAAGAGUGUAUUUUUACAUAUCAGACAUACAUGGAGCAUAACUUCCCAUUCGUGUGGUUGUAUGUGACGUGGAGUUACAUGGGUGGCCUCUUCAUGUAUAUACGAACCUAGGAAACUUAAGUCCGAUUCAUUCUACUGUCUUUCCUAGUCCCACCCCCUUCGUUCAAAUUCUCUUAAUGUCUAAUAGAAGGGAUCUGGGACAACUCAAGGGCAUGUGAAAUUUGGGCAAGUGGCAACUAUGGAAAGGGACUCAGAUACGAGGCAGUGGACACACACACACACACACACACACACACACACACACGGGCACACCUUCACUUGUGCCAAUAUCUCGUUCCUGCUGGAAAUGGGACAAAACCAACAUCCAGUCUGCAGUGGAACAGCAGGUGAAAUGUGCUUCCAUGAAACGUCUGUUGGUGCCACUUUUCCCUAUCACCUGAAGUUUUUGAAGGGGAAUGUAUUUUUCUGGGUGGUUUGAGAAAUUAAGUAAAUGUUUUCUAAGUGACUGGAAUAUAUGAGUAGAGAAAAGGAGCAGGAGAUCCUCAGGGUUCUCAGCAGGUGAUCCGUGGGCCACCUGCUUUGGAAUCCUGUCUUCCUCCCCUCUCACAUCCCCACACUGCAGACCAAGUGACUCAGAAGGUCUAAGCCAGAAGCCAGCACUUGGACAAGGAUUUCUGGUGAUUUUUGUGAAGACUAGAAUUUGAGAACCACAGGUUCAAGGAUAAUUAUAGUGGGACAAAGGACACAAAGACCAUCGCUAGGGGAGUUGAGCUCUGACACAUAAUCAAGAUGUUCCCUAUCUUCUCUUCAGAAUUCCAGACGCCAGCUUCUGUCUCCAACUCCCAGUGGGUCCUUCAAAAUUCCAAACUCAACUUGUCCCCGGCCAAAUACCUCAUCACCUGGCCGUUGCAGAGGCUUCUCCACCAGCCUUCCCCAGCAUGGCAAAAGACCACUCCGUCCUUUUGGUUUGCGCAGACCAGGCACAUCUGCCUUUUCUCCCUUCCCCUCGCUUUCCCUCUUUCUCCCCAUAUUUAUCCAAAUAGCUCAGCUUCACAACAUGCCAGAAUCAUCUCAGCACAGUUCUGCCCUUCACGGCGGGCCUAGCUGCCAUGAACCUGGCUUGCCUUUCCACAGUGCCUCCCGACCUUCUCCCUGCCUGUGCCCUUGCGCUCCCUCCCUCUCCAACCACUGCAAGGCCACCCUCAGCAGCCACAGUGACCCUCUGCUCAAAGCCAUCCAUCCGUUCCCAACCUCUCCUCAACUGGACACCUAAGUCCUCAGAGUGCCUUGGUCAGGACCCUAGCUGCCCCUCACUGCCUACAACUUUCUCCAGUAUCUCCUGUGCCCCAGCCUCACUAGUCGCCCUGCUGUUCUGGAGCACACUGAGCAUGACCCUGCCGGAAUCUCGGCACUGACUGUUCUUCCUGGACCACUCUUCCCUCAGAUGUCUGAGUAGCUCUCUCCCUCGUCUCCUUUACUUCAAUAUUACCUCCUCAGGGUCCCCUACUAUUUAAAAUUGCAGCCCUUCACAGUCUGCCUUCCCUUUCCCUGUCUUGAUUUCUUUUUCGUAGCACUGGGCAUAUUCUAAUGCUCUAUGUAAUUUAUUAUGCUUAUUUCUUAUCUCUUCCCAAUAGAAGGUAAGCUCUGCAUAGGCAGAAAUUUUUGCUUAUUUUAUUCACUGCUGUAUUUCAGGAUCUAGAACUAUGCCUGGAACACGAGAGAUCCUCAGUAAAUUAGUUUGUUAAGUGACAGUGGUGUGGCACGUGAUUUUACGAAAUGAUUCCUCAUAGAGAAUUUGCCAUAUCUAGAUUUAAAAAAAUGGUCUACUGGCCUAGACCACCCAUGGAAACAUACAUGUCAUUUCAAAAUAGCUGGCAGGAAACUUAUCCAUUGUGUCCUGUGGCUCUGGGAACCCUCCCAAGCAUUUUUACCAGCAUUAUCUUUUUAUUCCAAGAGUCAACCCUGUGAUGGGGGUCCACUUUUAUCCUUAUUUUUCAAAUGGGGAAGUUGAGGCUCAGGCAGGUUAAGAACUUGCUCAAGGAUACAGUUAGUAAGCCACAAAAUUAGAAUUUGAACCUAAAUUGGGAGAGUCCAAAGCUUUUGUGUUUAGCCAGUAAGUACACUGCUGACUCAUAGAGUAGACCGCCUUAAUGGUGCCUAACCUCUGCGGUAUGCCUCUUUAAAGCUUAAAGCUGUGCUUCAUACACUUUUAAAGAUCUGUUUUGAUUAUACUAAUAUUACUGUGUUGUUUAUUUAGUUAAGUGUUUCUGUUGGCAUUUGUAGGAACAUGUGCUCUUAUCCCCAUGAGCUUUUUAGAUUUUUAGAACUUGUUGAUCGCUUGGCUCUGCCAGUUCUUAAGCUGCUCAAAGGAAUCCUGUAACUUCAAACACUCCCGCUGGCUCCCACUGGACUUUUAGAUCCCUCUAGGGGCCCCUCUGAAGGCAUUCAUCACAGGCUGCCUCAUUGUAUUUAUUCUACUGAAUUCAAGUCAACGGGUUUCUCGAGUAUCCCAAGAAAACAGGCUGCUGUCCAGGCUCUGCAGACAGGAGUUAGAGGCUACAUGGUUCUUGCCCCUCAGGCUGUCACUGGAGCCAGCGAGAAUACAGGAGCCCUGUGGAGCCACACGGAGCAGAGACACUCCUCCCAGGCACAGGAGCCAAGCUUGGCUGAGCCGAUCGCGAAGGAGGAACAAUUAUUGCUCCUUUGAUAGGUAGGAUCCUCAUAAUCAUCAUUCCUGUGAUUGCUAAAGAUGUUGCUCAUACAAAAAGGUGAAGUCUUCUCUCUCUGCUUCUUGACCACCAUGUGAGCUGCUUCCCUCUGUCGCACUCAUCCGCCAUGAUGUUCUGCCUCAACUUGAGCCCUGAGGAAUGGAGGCGGCCUUCUACAGACUAAGACCUUUGAAACCAUAGCCCUCUAAUAAACUUUUCUUCCCAUAAAAAAAAAAAAGAAAGAAAGAAAAAAGAGUGAAGUGUCUUGCCCAAGUCCUCAGGGUUAGUAAGUGGCAGAUCUGGGAUCUGAACCCAAAUAACAGUUCUCCCAGAAUUUGGGCACUUACUGUCCAUCAAAUGCACCAGGUUGUCCCUAGUUUUGAUGAGUCUUGGAAGGUAUGAGAUGGGUCAGGAUGCUGGGCCUCCCUAGGCAUGUCAAAGGAACAAUGUUAAGGCUUCCUGGACAAGCUAGUUAUACACAAACUUUUCCUACAAGGAAAGGAAGAAUUUAAUAGGAACUUUCUAUGAGCCCUUUGUCACAGAAAGAGUCUGUCUGGAAACCUACUUAUUGGAACUUGAGCACUAAAUAUGCAUCAAAGACUUGUCAUUCUAAGGCAGGAGUUUGCAUAAGUCAGAAGUUUGUUUACUCCCAUGAGUCUGAAUAAAGAUCAAGGUUAGGUUAAAUAGCUAUUAAUAACAGUUGGAGUUGAGUAAGAGAAAAAAACAAACCUCUGGGACUGGUUGCUUUAGUCUCUUCGAUAGAUGAUCAGGCUAAUACUUGCUACUGGUUUAUUUUAUAUUAUUAUUAUUGUUAUUGGCUUCAGGUGCACCAAAUUAAAUCAGUCAUAACCUUGGCUUGUAACACACUGUCUACACUCAUCCCUGCUCCUUGUUUAUGCUGAUAUUGUUCCAAGUAAUUCUAUUGUAAAGUGCAAUUGAGAUCACAUUCCAAUACACACUCCUGGGUUCUCUGGGUUUGGAUCUACAGCUUGUGGGUGGAGUCUUUACCUACAUUCUGGACACAAAACCUAGCAGGAGUGUUCCUGUACCCAGAAUAUGGUGGCACAUGAUCCUGCCAAGGACAGGAGGUUAAGUCUUCAGGGCAGAGUCAGUCACGGGCUUGGUGAGAACAUAGUAUUCAUGACAUCCUUUCCAAGUUCCAAGGAGAUAAACAACUGAUCAUUUUCCAGGAAAACUGAGGCCUUGUUUCCAGGACCUGAGGAUCUUCAUAACCAUAUUUCCUCUGUCAGUUACAGAGCUGCUCCCCCUCUCACCCCUUCUCCUUGGCAGGGCCAGCUUGGGUGAGGGCAGCAGAGCUGCCUCUGAGGGGACACUUGGGAACUGCACUUUGCCCAUGGCCCCCGGGGAGAGAUCCCGCCACAGCCUGGAGGCUUAGUCAUAGGGAGGAGUUCAGGUCCCCUGGAGAACAUUCUCUCCCCAAACCAAGUCUGGCAAAGCUUUCACAUUUGUCUCUUUUCCUACUCACAACUUCUUCUUUCUGCUUCUAUGGAAAACAUUUGUUUCAACUUCCCUAUUCCUUUUCAAAGUAAGUUUAAUUUUGAAACGAAUCAAGGCUGGGCACUUCAUGUUUCCAGUGGUUAGGGUCACUCUAAAUACCCUGCCUCUAUCAAGGGCACCUGUUUUUUUUUUUUUUUUUUUUUAAAUCUAAUUUGGUAAGAGCAUGAGCUCUGUAGUCAUAUCAACAAUUUCAAGUCCUAACUCCAAUAUUCAUUGACACAUUUGAAAACCUUGGACAACAUAUUUAAUUUUGCUAAAUUUUAGUCUUUACCUAUGAGCUAAUGGUAACUAUCUCAUAAAGUUAUUGUGAAGAUCAAUCCAGAUGUCGUUGUACAACCUCUGUUGUGGCACUUGGCACUUGGUGAGCACUCCCCUUCAUGGUGAAUGUUAAUUACUGAUAUCAUUGUGAAACAUGUUUUAAUAUAUUCAUGCUUUUA